CUUUGAUUCUUUUACACCCUAAUUGCUUGGCAUUUAUAAUGGGGAGACAGGAACCAGGGUCCUUGGGAGAGAUGGCCAAGUGUGGUCCAAUGUGGCUGGCCUCAACUGGACUGGCUUUUGUCCCUUGCUAGGCCACAGGAAGAGCCAAUUUCUGAAUCAGGAGCAAAAUAUUUUCUAGAAGUUAUUACAUGGCAGCUCUGAGGAAAAAAUUCUUUGACCUUCUAGUCAAAUCAUGAAAUUAAGAUUACUCCAGCAAUGUAUCCCAGUGGCAACACUUCAUCUUCAUUCACGCUCCUCGGCAGCCCAGCCUUUACAUGGGUCGCCAGAACAUCUCUCCGAGGUAUUGACUGUAAAGAGGGAAACCUCCACUGUCCAUAUCCAAACUUCAGAGUAGUGUUUAAAGCAGGCAUAGUAGAGGUAAUGGGAAAGAUAUUAUUGAUUUUAUGUAUGUAAAUAGAGCAUAGUCAACUUGACAAUGCCUCUUUAAAUAAUUGAAAAAUCUGCCUCAGCUGACAGUAGCUCACAAGAUAACGAGGCUGGUUGUGGAAGAACAUGAGUAAUUAGAGAGUGGGGAUUCUUGCCACAUGGAAUUGACCCUUGGGGGCUUGAAGAAAGCAGGAUUUGUGGCUGCUCUGAAAUGCCAGUGGUCUGGUCCAGCAUUCCUCUUGUCAAUACGAACCUUGUGUUUUUAUUGGAAACACGUGUCAAAACAAAACAGUGUUUGAGGCUGCUGCUGAGAGAAGGUGGGCAAGUCCACAGACAGCCAACCUGUUUUUUCUGCUUGUUUCCAAACAUACCCUGCCACACUGCCCGUCACAUUCAAAUGGAGGGAAAGAUGAUGGAGCAGACAUAG
RNAcentral lists this long non-coding RNA (853 nucleotides) under Anser brachyrhynchus (Pink-footed goose). RNAcentral's name for it is "lncRNA (ENSABRG00000021598.1)". Lineage: Eukaryota; Metazoa; Chordata; Aves; Anseriformes; Anatidae. The record is from RNAcentral.